RNAcentral lists this ribosomal RNA (528 nucleotides) under uncultured bacterium. RNAcentral's name for it is "bacterial SSU rRNA". It matches the Rfam family "Bacterial small subunit ribosomal RNA", at positions 980 to 1509 of the family's 1533-position model. The record is from RNAcentral.
CUUGACAUCCAGCGAACUUGGCAGAGAUGCCUUGGUGCCUUCGGGAACGCUGAGACAGGUGCUGCAUGGCUGUCGUCAGCUCGUGUUGUGAAAUGUUGGGUUAAGUCCGCAACGAGCGCAACCCUUAUCCUUUGUUGCCAGCGAUUCGGUCGGGAACUCAAAGGAGACUGCCGGUGAUAAACCGGAGGAAGGUGGGGAUGACGUCAAGUCAUCAUGGCCCUUACGAGUAGGGCUACACACGUGCUACAAUGGCGCAUACAAAGAGAAGCGACCUCGCGAGAGCAAGCGGACCUCAUAAAGUGCGUCGUAGUCCGGAUCGGAGUCUGCAACUCGACUCCGUGAAGUCGGAAUCGCUAGUAAUCGUGGACCAGAAUGCCACGGUGAAUACGUUCCCGGGCCUUGUACACACCGCCCGUCACACCAUGGGAGUGGGUUGCAAAAGAAGUAGGUAGCUUAACCCUCGGGAGGGCGCUUACCACUUUGUGAUUCAUGACUGGGGUGAAGUCGUAACAAGGUAGGCGUAGCGAG